AUAAGAAGCAAAAAUUGCAUUUAGUUUCGACCUAAAUUUUUGAUAAUUAAAAAUUAUCCUUAUU
This 64-nucleotide transfer RNA is filed under the name Monochamus sartor urussovii. Its description in RNAcentral is "tRNA-Arg". Lineage: Eukaryota; Metazoa; Arthropoda; Insecta; Coleoptera; Cerambycidae. The record is from RNAcentral.